GUGGGGAAUAUUGGACAAUGGGCGAAAGCCUGAUCCAGCCAUGCCGCGUGCAGGAAGACGCAUCUAUGGUGUGUAAACUGCUUUUGUACGGGAAGAAACACUCCCUCGUGAGGGAGCUUGACGGUACCGUAAGAAUAAGGAUCGGCUAACUCCGUGCCAGCAGCCGCGGUAAUACGGAGGAUCCAAGCGUUAUCCGGAAUCAUUGGGUUUAAAGGGUCCGUAGGCGGUUUAAUAAGUCAGUGGUGAAAGCCCAUCGCUCAACGAUGGAACGGCCAUUGAUACUGUUAGACUUGAAUUACAAGGAAGUAACUAGAAUAUGUAGUGUAGCGGUGAAAUGCUUAGAUAUUACAUGGAAUACCAAUUGCGAAGGCAGGUUACUACUUGUGGAUUGACGCUGAUGGACGAAAGCGUGGGGAGCAAACAGGAUUAGAUACCCUAGUAGUCC
This 445-nucleotide ribosomal RNA is filed under the name uncultured bacterium. Its description in RNAcentral is "partial 16S ribosomal RNA". It matches the Rfam family "Bacterial small subunit ribosomal RNA", at positions 354 to 796 of the family's 1533-position model. The record is from RNAcentral.